Molecule: ribosomal RNA, 537 nt
Filed under: Bifidobacterium breve
Lineage: Bacteria; Bacillati; Actinomycetota; Actinomycetes; Bifidobacteriales; Bifidobacteriaceae
Description: bacterial SSU rRNA
Rfam family: Bacterial small subunit ribosomal RNA
Source: RNAcentral
UAAUGCCGGAUGCUCCAUCACACCGCAUGGUGUGUUGGGAAAGCCUUUGCGGCAUGGGAUGGGGUCGCGUCCUAUCAGCUUGAUGGCGGGGUAACGGCCCACCAUGGCUUCGACGGGUAGCCGGCCUGAGAGGGCGACCGGCCACAUUGGGACUGAGAUACGGCCCAGACUCCUACGGGAGGCAGCAGUGGGGAAUAUUGCACAAUGGGCGCAAGCCUGAUGCAGCGACGCCGCGUGAGGGAUGGAGGCCUUCGGGUUGUAAACCUCUUUUGUUAGGGAGCAAGGCAUUUUGUGUUGAGUGUACCUUUCGAAUAAGCACCGGCUAACUACGUGCCAGCAGCCGCGGUAAUACGUAGGGUGCAAGCGUUAUCCGGAAUUAUUGGGCGUAAAGGGCUCGUAGGCGGUUCGUCGCGUCCGGUGUGAAAGUCCAUCGCUUAACGGUGGAUCCGCGCCGGGUACGGGCGGGCUUGAGUGCGGUAGGGGAGACUGGAAUUCCCGGUGUAACGGUGGAAUGUGUAGAUAUCGGAAAAGAACACC